RNAcentral lists this transfer RNA (83 nucleotides) under Planctomycetota bacterium. RNAcentral describes it as "Planctomycetes bacterium (groundwater metagenome) tRNA-Leu". It matches the Rfam family "tRNA". From Rfam's summary of the family: Transfer RNA (tRNA) molecules are approximately 80 nucleotides in length. Lineage: Bacteria; Pseudomonadati; Planctomycetota. The record is from RNAcentral.
GCCGGAGUGGCGGAAUGGCAGACGCGCUGGACUCAAAAUCCAGUCCUCGCAAGAGGGUGCGGGUUCAAGUCCCGCCUCCGGUA